UAUAAACCCGAGUGAGAGCUAACGAACGAGCGUUCGCAGCCUCUGUAUUAUACACAACCACACACACACACACACACACCACACACAUCACACACAUCACACACAUCAUUCGGCCCAGAUGGAAUAUACACAGUUAUUUUUUCCUGUUUAACGGCAACAGUCCAGUGCUCUUUAUUCAGACUUUGGAAACAUUUACAACCACUGAAAAGCGAAGUCAACAUGAAGUCAUAGACUGUCAACGAUGAAGCACACCUGCCGUUCCUCAGCUCACCUGCCUUCCAUCAAGUCAUCACUCCAACUGCAUAUAAACCCUGGCCUUUCUCCCACUCCUUGUCCACCACCAUCUUCACCUCCUGCCAUCUGCUUGCCUGCUCUCCACCAACCUCACCUCAGCCAUUCCCUCCACCUCGCUAUUGGACCCUCUCCUUCCCCUUUUAUUUUCACGUCACAAUAAAUAAUAAUA
Molecule: long non-coding RNA, 463 nt
Organism: Cynoglossus semilaevis (tongue sole)
Lineage: Eukaryota; Metazoa; Chordata; Actinopteri; Pleuronectiformes; Cynoglossidae
Exons: 3
Source: RefSeq, a predicted model, not a curated record